GACGAACGCUGGCGGCGUGCUUAACACAUGCAAGUCGAACGGAAAGGCCCUGCUUUUGUGGGGUGCUCGAGUGGCGAACGGGUGAGUAACACGUGAGUAACCUGCCCUUGACUUUGGGAUAACUUCAGGAAACUGGGGCUAAUACCGGAUAGGAGCUCCUGCUGCAUGGUGGGGGUUGGAAAGUUUCGGCGGUUGGGGAUGGACUCGCGGCUUAUCAGCUUGUUGGUGGGGUAGUGGCUUACCAAGGCUUUGACGGGUAGCCGGCCUGAGAGGGUGACCGGCCACAUUGGGACUGAGAUACGGCCCAGACUCCUACGGGAGGCAGCAGUGGGGAAUAUUGCACAAUGGGCGGAAGCCUGAUGCAGCAACGCCGCGUGCGGGAUGACGGCCU
Molecule: ribosomal RNA, 391 nt
Filed under: uncultured bacterium
Lineage: Bacteria
Description: bacterial SSU rRNA
Rfam family: Bacterial small subunit ribosomal RNA
Source: RNAcentral